GGGGCGGUAGCUCAAUUGGUAGAGCACUAGCUUUGCAAGCUAGGGGUUGCCGGUUCGAGUCCGGUCCGCUCCA
This 73-nucleotide transfer RNA is filed under the name Phycisphaerae bacterium. RNAcentral describes it as "tRNA-Ala". It matches the Rfam family "tRNA". Rfam says of the family: Transfer RNA (tRNA) molecules are approximately 80 nucleotides in length. Their secondary structure includes four short double-helical elements and three loops (D, anti-codon, and T loops). The record is from RNAcentral. Lineage: Bacteria; Pseudomonadati; Planctomycetota; Phycisphaerae. RNAcentral also lists the same sequence under 1 other name.